Molecule: small RNA, 132 nt
Filed under: Salmonella enterica
Lineage: Bacteria; Pseudomonadati; Pseudomonadota; Gammaproteobacteria; Enterobacterales; Enterobacteriaceae
Description: RtT sRNA
Rfam family: RtT RNA
About the family: This family represents a bacterial cis-regulatory element known as RtT RNA. The exact function of RtT is unknown although it is thought that it may be involved in changing the cellular response in relation to amino acid starvation.
Source: RNAcentral
UAUCUCUCCGUACGGGGAAGGAUGAGAAGCUUCGACUAAGGUUCGAUUCGAGCGAAAGCGAGAAAGCGUUGCCGCAGGCAACGACCCGAAGGGCGAAGCGCGCAGCGCUGAGUAAUCCUUCCCCCACCAUCC